AAUUGAAGAGUUUGAUCAUGGCUCAGAUUGAACGCUGGCGGCAGGCCUAACACAUGCAAGUCGAACGGUAACAGGAAGCAGCUUGCUGCUUUGCUGACGAGUGGCGGACGGGUGAGUAAUGUCUGGGAAACUGCCUGGUGGAGGGGGAUAACUACUGGAAACGGUAGCUAAUACCGCAUAACGUCGCAAGACCAAAGAGGGGGACCUUCGGGCCUCUUGCCAUCGGAUGUGCCCAGAUGGGAUUAGCUAGUAGGUGGGGUAACGGCUCACCUAGGCGACGAUCCCUAGCUGGUCUGAGAGGAUGACCAGCCACACUGGAACUGAGACACGGUCCAGACUCCUACGGGAGGCAGCAGUGGGGAAUAUUGCACAAUGGGCGCAAGCCUGAU
RNAcentral lists this ribosomal RNA (389 nucleotides) under Escherichia coli LAU-EC10. Its description in RNAcentral is "bacterial SSU rRNA". It matches the Rfam family "Bacterial small subunit ribosomal RNA", at positions 1 to 387 of the family's 1533-position model. The record is from RNAcentral. Lineage: Bacteria; Pseudomonadati; Pseudomonadota; Gammaproteobacteria; Enterobacterales; Enterobacteriaceae.